Molecule: ribosomal RNA, 253 nt
Filed under: uncultured bacterium
Lineage: Bacteria
Description: partial 16S ribosomal RNA
Rfam family: Bacterial small subunit ribosomal RNA
Source: RNAcentral
UACGUAGGGUGCAGGCGUUAAUCGGAAUUACUGGGCGUAAAGCGUGCGCAGGCGGCUUUGCAAGACAGAUGUGAAAUCCCCGGGCUUAACCUGGGAACUGCAUUUGUGACUGCAUGGCUAGAGUGCGGCAGAGGGGGAUGGAAUUCUGCGUGUAGCAGUGAAAUGCGUAGAUAUGCGGAGGAACACCGAUGGCGAAGGCAAUCCCCUGGGCCUGCACUGACGCUCAUGCACGAAAGCGUGGGGAGCAAACAGG